Molecule: ribosomal RNA, 345 nt
Filed under: Ehrlichia canis
Lineage: Bacteria; Pseudomonadati; Pseudomonadota; Alphaproteobacteria; Rickettsiales; Anaplasmataceae
Description: bacterial SSU rRNA
Rfam family: Bacterial small subunit ribosomal RNA
Source: RNAcentral
AUUAUUUAUAGCCUCUGGCUAUAGGAAAUUGUUAGUGGCAGACGGGUGAGUAAUGCGUAGGAAUCUACCUAGUAGUACGGAAUAGCCAUUAGAAAUGGUGGGUAAUACUGUAUAAUCCCCGAGGGGGAAAGAUUUAUCGCUAUUAGAUGAGCCUACGUUAGAUUAGCUAGUUGGUGAGGUAAUGGCUUACCAAGGCUAUGAUCUAUAGCUGGUCUGAGAGGACGAUCAGCCACACUGGAACUGAGAUACGGUCCAGACUCCUACGGGAGGAAGCAGUGGGGAAUAUUGGACAAUGGGCGAAAGCCUGAUCCAGCUAUGCCGCGUGAGUGAAGAAGGCCUUCGGGU